RNAcentral lists this unclassified non-coding RNA (1359 nucleotides) under Hevea brasiliensis (rubber tree). The record is from RNAcentral. Lineage: Eukaryota; Viridiplantae; Streptophyta; Magnoliopsida; Malpighiales; Euphorbiaceae.
GAGUAAGAAUUUGUAAUUUGUAUAUAUCGUGUGGAGUUCGAAUAAAAUUUGUUAACUAUCGUUUAUCAGUUGUUAAAAAAGAUCUGAACUCCCAUUCCGAAUCCAUUGUGAGCCAAGCUCAUUGAACAUCAGCCAAGCUCGUCAGCUUUAUGAUCGGACUUCAAAACAAUGGCCAGGACGAUACUAGAGUGCCCAGGAGAAUACAUUUACAUAUUGCAGUGACUACACACACUGAACCAACAGCCAACAUUGCUUCCACAGUUCUACAUGCUGCAAAACCACAGAAAACCCACAAUGGAGAACCAUCUAAGCCUUGGAAGCAAAUUAGCCUUGAAAGAAUACACAGAAAUUGUUAGUAACACCCAAGACUAUGCAUUUCUAACCAAUUAGGCUUGAGCAAAAAAUAUUUAGGGGGACUGGAUUUAUCUCCUUAAUAGAAGUUAUCCAAAGCCUGCAGAUUAAUCCUCUCAUCAUCAUGUGUGCUCAGUUUCCAGUGUAUUCAAUGAAAAUGCCAUCUAACUCUCCCAUAGAUUUUGAUCUCUCAGAGCAUUCAUUUCACCAAUGAGGAACCCUACAUAACUGUCUAUAAUAUGCUAGCUACGGAGAAGUCUUAUCUGCAGAAUAUAGAACACCAGAUAUGGACAGCUGGAAUAUAAUAUUGAAUUAGUAAUCACCUAUAUGUUUUUGUAAGAGAUGCUCUAGGGCAGUAUGCAUGCCUAAUAUGGGUUCCAUCCAAACAUCCAUUGAUAUCCAGAUACGAACAUCCAAUUAUAUUCUUGCAGCUUCUACUCUCUGCCCGGGUAAUAUAGGAACAAUACAAUUAAAGAAUUGGCGGUCAAUGGAAACUAGAGAAAAUAUUCAAAAUUCAGAGGCAUGAGAAUUAAAAAGACAUUUUGAGCACAACAAAAACCUAUCCAGAUCUAAAAUGCAAAGAAAAAUAUUAAAAACAUCAUAUUGAACACCAAAAGAAGCAUAAGAAUUAAGAAGCUCAGGCAGAAAAAGGAAUAAUACAAGCACUUUGGAAUGAGUGUAUCAACAAUAUAUAGUAAAAAAAUGUAAAUUACAUGAAACUUCUUGUAAAUUAGUGAAGGCACAUUAACCUCUUAAGAAGUAAGAGAGGAAUUGGAUAGCCUAAGGCACUCGCUUUGGCACCUCCGUAGACAGACAUCAUUCCAGUUGGGCACUUGAUGUUGAUUAACACAGACAGUUCUCGCGCAAGCAUCAGCACAAGCAUCAAGCUCAGAAACACCACAAACGGUGACACAGGUAUCAAUGGUAGGGUCUUUAGAUAAUGCACCAACCUUUUUUAACAUCCUCUUAGAAGUGCACACCCUCUCACAAACAAAAAUUUCAUCAGAG